UAUAAGGUCUAAUCUGCCCAAUGAGUAAUUGAAUGGCCGCGGUACUUUGACCGUGCAAAGGUAGCAUAAUAAUUAGUUUUUUAAUUGAAAGCUGGAAUGAAUGAUUGGACGAGAAAAUUACUGUCUCAGUUUAGAUUAACUUGAAUUUUAUUUUUAAGUAAAAAAGCUUAAAUUUAUUUAAAAGACGAGAAGACCCUAUAGAGUUUUAUAAAUUGAUUUAUAAUUUUAUAAAGGGAUAUUUUUGUGGUUAUAAUUUAUUUUAUUUUAUUGGGGCGAUAGAAAAAUUUAUUUAACUUUUUAUUUAUGAUAACAUUGAUAUAUGAGUUUUUGAUCCAAUUUUUUUGAUUAUAAGAUUAAAUUACCUUAGGGAUAACAGCGUAAUUUUUUUUUAGAGUUCUAAUCGAAAAAAAAGUUUGCGACCUCGAUGUUGGAUUAAAAUAAAUGUUUGGUGUAGAAGCUAAAUAAUUAGGUCUGUUCGACCUUUAAAAUUUUACA
This 495-nucleotide ribosomal RNA is filed under the name Triodontella sp. DA4207. RNAcentral describes it as "partial 16S large subunit ribosomal RNA". It matches the Rfam family "Bacterial large subunit ribosomal RNA", at positions 1844 to 2600 of the family's 2925-position model. Lineage: Eukaryota; Metazoa; Arthropoda; Insecta; Coleoptera; Scarabaeidae. The record is from RNAcentral.